GCAGAUGUGCAGCCAGGCCAGCCAUUUAUCUCCAUGUGGGUUCCGUCCCAUGAUGUGAUGGGGGCGAGCCUAUCACCAUAUAUAAAAACCUAUAUAACUGGCCGACCCGGAAUUCGAACCCCGGACUUCAGAACGGUGUCCUACCGAGCCCGCAAUACAACUACGCCAUCAAGACCUUAUUACAUAACAACUCAUAUAAAACACGGUACGGGAAAAUACGUGUUAUUCGGAAUAAUAAAAGAGAAACGGCACAGCUAGUAUUCAGAACAGGUUUUAUAAGAGGUUAUCAAACGGAACAUGAAGAUGAACGCGCCAGUCAAUCGCAAGUGUACUACGCACUGAGUCAGUCUUACGGAAAA
This is an RNA transcript of Manduca sexta (tobacco hornworm), 359 nucleotides long. RefSeq lists it as uncharacterized. The record is from RefSeq and is a predicted model, not a curated record. The transcript has 2 exons. NCBI's taxonomy places the organism in Eukaryota, Metazoa, Arthropoda, Insecta, Lepidoptera, Sphingidae.